RNAcentral lists this transfer RNA (81 nucleotides) under Bos taurus (domestic cattle). It matches the Rfam family "tRNA". Rfam says of the family: Transfer RNA (tRNA) molecules are approximately 80 nucleotides in length. Their secondary structure includes four short double-helical elements and three loops (D, anti-codon, and T loops). Further hydrogen bonds mediate the characteristic L-shaped molecular structure. tRNAs have two regions of fundamental functional importance: the anti-codon, which is responsible for specific mRNA codon recognition, and the 3' end, to which the tRNAs corresponding amino acid is attached (by aminoacyl-tRNA synthetases). tRNAs cope with the degeneracy of the genetic code in two manners: having more than one tRNA (with a specific anti-codon) for a particular amino acid; and 'wobble' base-pairing, i.e. permitting non-standard base-pairing at the 3rd anti-codon position. Lineage: Eukaryota; Metazoa; Chordata; Mammalia; Artiodactyla; Bovidae. The record is from Rfam by way of RNAcentral. RNAcentral also lists the same sequence under 2 other names.
UCCCAGGUGGCUGUGUGGUAAAGAACCUGCCUGCCAGUGCUGGAGAUGCAAGAGGCUCGAGUUCGAUCCUUGGCUUGGGAA